AGCUUAGUGGCGAACGGGUGAGUAACACGUGAAGAACCUGCCCUUCAGUGGGGGACAACAGUUGGAAACGACUACUAAUACCGCAUAAGACCACAGUACCGCAUGGUACAGUGAUCGAAGGAUUUAUUCGCUGAAGGAUGGCUUCGCGUCCGAUUAGGUAGUUGGUGAGGUAACGGCCCACCAAGCCUACGAUCGGUAGCCGGACUGAGAGGUUGAUCGGCCACAUUGGGACUGAGACACGGCCCAGACUCCUACGGGAGGCAGCAGUGGGGAAUAUUGCACAAUGGAGGAAACUCUGAUGCAGCGACGCCGCGUGAGGGAAGAAGGUCUUCGGAUUGUAAACCUCUGUCUUCAGGGACGAUAAUGACGGUACCUGAGGAGGAAGCACCGGCUAACUACGUGCCAGCAGCCGCGGUAAAACGUAGGGUGCAAGCGUUGUCCGGAAUUACUGGGUGUAAAGGGAGCGCAGGCGGGAAGGUAAGUUGGAUGUUUAAUCUACGGGCUCAACCCGUAUCAGCAUUCAAAACUAUUUUUCUUGAGUAGUGCAGAGGUAGGCGGAAUUCCCGGUGUAGCGGUGGAAUGCGUAGAUAUCGGGAGGAACACCAGUGGCGAAGGCGGCCUACUGGGCACUAACUGACGCUGAGGCUCGAAAGCAUGGGUAGCAAACAGGAUUAGAUACCCUGGUAGUCCAUGCCGUAAACGAUGAUUACUAGGUGUGGGAGGAUUGACCCCUUCCGUGCCGCAGUUAACACAAUAAGUAAUCCACCUGGGGAGUACGACCGCAAGGUUGAA
This 792-nucleotide ribosomal RNA is filed under the name uncultured bacterium. Its description in RNAcentral is "bacterial SSU rRNA". It matches the Rfam family "Bacterial small subunit ribosomal RNA", at positions 89 to 898 of the family's 1533-position model. The record is from RNAcentral.